UGAUGGAGCGAUUUGUCUGGUUAAUUCCGAUAACGAACGAGACUCUGGCCUAUUAAAUAGUUCGCCGAUUCCGAUCUGUCGGCGUUAACUUCUUAGAGGGACAAGUGGCUUUUAGCCACGCGAGAUUGAGCAAUAACA
Molecule: ribosomal RNA, 138 nt
Filed under: uncultured eukaryote
Lineage: Eukaryota
Description: partial 18S ribosomal RNA
Rfam family: Eukaryotic small subunit ribosomal RNA
Source: RNAcentral